UGGGGAAUUUUGGACAAUGGGGGAAACCCGGAUCCAGCCAUCCCGCGUGUGCGAUGAAGGCCUUCGGGUUGUAAAGCACUUUUGGCAGGAAAGAAACGUCAUGGGUUAAUACCCCGUGAAACUGACGGUACCUGCAGAAUAAGCACCGGCUAACUACGUGCCAGCAGCCGCGGUAAUACGUAGGGUGCAAGCGUUAAUCGGAAUUACUGGGCGUAAAGCGUGCGCAGGCGGUUCGGAAAGAAAGAUGUGAAAUCCCAGAGCUCAACUUUGGAACUGCAUUUUUAACUACCGGUCUAGAGUGUGUCAGAUGGAGGUGGAAUUCCGCGUGUAGCAGUGAAAUGCGUAGAUAUGCGGAGGAACACCGAUGGCGAAGGCAGCCUCCUGGGAUAACACUGACGCUCAUGCACGAAAGCGUGGGGAGCAAACAGG
Molecule: ribosomal RNA, 429 nt
Filed under: Acidobacteriota bacterium
Lineage: Bacteria; Pseudomonadati; Acidobacteriota
Description: Acidobacteria bacterium partial 16S ribosomal RNA
Rfam family: Bacterial small subunit ribosomal RNA
Source: RNAcentral